CUAGUACUCCCUCCGUCCGAAAAUACAUACUUAUCGCAGAAAUGCAUAAAAAUAGAUGUAUCUAGAACUAAAAUACGUCUAGAUACAUCCAUUCCUCCAACAAGUAUUUUCGAACGGAGGGAGUAUAUU
Molecule: non-coding RNA, 129 nt
Organism: Triticum aestivum (bread wheat)
Lineage: Eukaryota; Viridiplantae; Streptophyta; Magnoliopsida; Poales; Poaceae
Source: Rfam